AAAAAAAUAAUGUUAUAAAAUAAAUUAAAAUAUGGAAAAAAGAUUCCUUUUUAAUUUCCUUUUCCCAUCCAUAAGGAAAACGAUAUUAUAUACGCGAUAUAAGUUCAAAUUUCACUCAACUCGGUCGAUAAAAGUUGCAUGGUAAAAGUGUCAGCGAUAAUAUUCAAAUUAAUCGUAGGCGGAAGACCGUUAUAAAAAGGGGGGGGUGGAAGAAAAAGAACAACAGUGAGGUGGAAACACAGUGUCGCUAAUGAGUUAACAAAUCGAUUCGAACUCCGGCCAGUUCGGGCGAACUCUGUGUAACUGCACCGAGAGAAAUUGAUGGAGACGUUCUGGGAAGUGACAUUUCGCCAACUCGAAAUUUCCCUUCGUCAGCUAUUCACACGAGCACGUGUAUUCCGCAUGUACAUGUGUACAUAUACGUACGGGUGCACAUUUACGUGCAAAGCACACGCGGGAAGAAAGAAAAUGUAGUGGCGGAAUGGGACAUGAGAAAUCGAUUCGGCCGGAUUUUUUUUUGACCACGGAUUUAACUGAAUUAAUUUAAUUCGUUUAGGAAAAGGGAUUAUAAUGAGAUUAUUUUAAAUUGGAAUUUUAACAAGGAGAGUUUUACCAAAGAAAUUUCUCUUUUAAUUGGAAGUUUGUUGUGUUUAAUAACUGCUUAUUAUUAUUGUUAUUUUGUUCGAUAUAUUAUUUAUAAUAAAGUAAUAUAACAAUAAAAACUAUAUUAUUGAA
Molecule: long non-coding RNA, 735 nt
Organism: Apis cerana (Asiatic honeybee)
Lineage: Eukaryota; Metazoa; Arthropoda; Insecta; Hymenoptera; Apidae
Source: RefSeq, a predicted model, not a curated record